Molecule: ribosomal RNA, 253 nt
Filed under: uncultured bacterium
Lineage: Bacteria
Description: partial 16S ribosomal RNA
Rfam family: Bacterial small subunit ribosomal RNA
Source: RNAcentral
UACGGAGGGUGCGAGCGUUGUCCGGAAUCACUGGGCGUAAAGGGCGCGUAGGCGGACAGUACAGUCAGAUGUGAAAGCCCCGGGCUCAACCUGGGAAUUGCAUUUGAGACUGCAUUGCUUGGGUGCGGAAGAGGGAAGCGGAAUUUCCGGUGUAGCGGUGAAAUGCGUAGAUAUCAGGAGGAACACCAAUGGCGAAGGCAGCUCGCUGGGACGGUACUGACGCUGAGGCGCGAAAGCGUGGGGAGCAAACAGG